RNAcentral lists this ribosomal RNA (501 nucleotides) under uncultured bacterium. RNAcentral describes it as "partial 16S ribosomal RNA". It matches the Rfam family "Bacterial small subunit ribosomal RNA", at positions 30 to 523 of the family's 1533-position model. The record is from RNAcentral.
AUUGAACGCUGGCGGCAUGCCUUACACAUGCAAGUCGAACGGCAGCACGGGAGUAAUCCUGGUGGCGAGUGGCGAACGGAUGAGUAAUAUAUCGGAACGUGCCCAGUCGUGGGGGAUAACGUAGAGAAAGCUACGCUAAUACCGCAUACGAUCUACGGAUGAAAGCGGGGGAUAGCAAGACCUCGCGCGAUUGGAGCGGCCGAUAUCAGAUUAGCUAGUUGGUGGGGUAAAAGCCCACCAAGGCGACGAUCGGUAGCUGGUCUGAGAUGACGACCAGCCACACUGGAACUGAGACACGGUCCAGACUCCUACGGGAGGCAGCAGUGGGGAAUUGUGGACAAUGGGCGAAAGCCUGAUCCAGCAAUGCCGCGUGCAGGACGAAGGCCUUCGGGUUGUAAACUGCUUUUGUACGGAACGAAACGGUCUCUUUUAAUACAGGGGGGCUAAUGACGGUACCGUAAGAAUAAGCACCGGCUAACUACGUGCCAGCAGCCGCCGUAA